This 468-nucleotide ribosomal RNA is filed under the name uncultured bacterium. RNAcentral describes it as "partial 16S ribosomal RNA". It matches the Rfam family "Bacterial small subunit ribosomal RNA", at positions 28 to 507 of the family's 1533-position model. The record is from RNAcentral.
GACGAACGCUGGCGGCGUGCUUAACACAUGCAAGUCGAACGGAAAGGCCCUGCUUUUGUGGGGUGCUCGAGUGGCGAACGGGUGAGUAACACGUGAGUAACCUGCCCUUGACUUUGGGAUAACUUCAGGAAACUGGGGCUAAUACCGGAUAGGAGCUCCUGCUGCAUGGUGGGGGUUGGAAAGUUUCGGCGGUUGGGGAUGGACUCGCGGCUUAUCAGCUUGUUGGUGGGGUAGUGGCUUACCAAGGCUUUGACGGGUAGCCGGCCUGAGAGGGUGACCGGCAACAUUGGGACUGAGAUACGGCCCAGACUCCUACGGGAGGCAGCAGUGGGGAAUAUUGCACAAUGGGCGGAAGCCUGAUGCAGCAACGCCGCGUGCGGGAUGACGGCCUUCGGGUUGUAAACCGCUUUCGCCUGUGACGAAGCGUGAGUGACGGUAAUGUGUAAAGAAGCACCGGCUAACUACGUG